AAGAGAAGAGCCGGAGGCACAAUUAAAGCGUGUUAUGUUCCAAGUCUUGUAUAUUAUUCAUUGUUGUUGGUGGCAGAGAAGACGAGAUUUGUCUUGAUGCCUGACAAGGAAGAGGAAUCUUUGGCAAAUGUUAAACGGUGCUUCAUUUUGGAAGAUCUGAUUGAGUUCAUUUUUUUAGAACAGUCUGGCAUGUAUCUCCAGUCUUUUCUAAAUCACAGUUCAGAAAGCGAUCAUCUCGCUCUGAUAGAUUGCGAGAAUUUUUGUGAAAAGUUCAAAUACCUUCGGUUACUGAACUUGGGUUAUGCAGUUCUCGACCAAUUUCCACUCGGAUUAGAAAAUUUAAUCCUUUUGAAGCAUUUGAAAUUGAAUAUCCCUUCGCUCAAAUGCCUUCCUUCGCUGCUGUGCACUAUUUUAAACCUUCAAACACUAGAAAUGCCAUCUAGCUACGUAGAUCACUCGCUGGAGGAUAUUUGGAUGAUGCAAAAACUCAUGCAUCUAAACUUUGGUUCCAUCACUCUUCCCGCACCUCCAAAAAAUUAUUCUAGCUCUCUGAAAAAUCUCAUUUUCAUAUCAGCUUUAAACCCUAGUAGUUUUACUCCUGAUAUAUUGCGCAGACUACCUAAUGUUCAAACACUUCGGAUAUCUGGAGAUUUGAGUUGCUAUCACUCUGGGGUUUCCAAUAGCCUAUUGGGACUCCACAAACUUGAAUGCUUGAAGCUGGUGAAUGAGAGCAAGCUCUCACGGGUUGUCCUGUCUAAAUACCAGUUUCCUUUAAGUCUAAGCCAUCUGAGCUUAUCAAAUACUGAGCUAAUGCAGGAUCCCAUGCCAAUUAAUAUAUCAAGACUAGUUUGAAAAUCUACUUCUACUAAUAAUAAUAUUUAAGGAGAAAUUAGCUGUCACGUGGCUGCUGUGGAGUCCUAUUCAUCAGGGUAGUUGUUGUUAUAGUCAAAAUAAAUAUUUAGUUUUUAUUUACUUGUAGAAGUGGUCCACUACGUCAGCACUUGUUGCUAUCAUUUAGCUGUGUCUUUGUUAUUUUCUGUUCAAGUCUUUAUAUAAAUUCAUAGUCCAAAGAUUAAAAAAAAAAAAAAAAAAUUCAUAGUCCAAAGAUAAAAAAAAAAAAAAAAAAAGCAACAGAUUAAUUUUCUUCAAAGUUCAUCUAGUAUUGAAGGCCGUGGUCUUCCUCAAAAUAGACCAAGUUCAGUUGUUCGUUCUUUAUUUAGUUGACUACUACAAUAGGGAAACAAAAGAAAAUGAUCCUGAAAGGGCUUGAUUUGUUAUACAUACCAAUUACAAGGUCAGUUAUGUAGGCAUGUAACAAAAUAGUAUCAGAGCAAGGCAUGUAGGAAUCAUGAUUGAAAAGCUUAGAAACCGAAGUAAGCUCCUUGCAGCUUAAUUUAUAGUCAAAUUCAAAUCUUGAACAAUGGUCAUGAACGAAAGAAUAUCAUGAAAUGUGAUAAUCCAAACGAAGGUGCGAAUGGAUAUUGGUAUUAUGGGCUCUGCUUAGACUAUUUACACAUUUAAACAAUAAUCAUCACUAUUUUCGACCACUAUAUCUUCCGAAAAUAAUUUUUGCCAAAAGUCACCAUAUUUGUGAAUUAAAUCUAUUUUAAAAAUAGAUUUAAUCACCAUCAAUUUUGUCACGGUAAGAUAAAGUAGGGAUAGCUAAUAUAUAUAUUCUUUCUAAAAGUCAUGACUUUUCUCUAAACAUUAAUCAUAUUUUUUUUGAGAAAAGUGAGUAAUAAUAAUAUCGUCAGGAGUUUAGAUAAUGCUAUAUGAUCAACUGAUUUAAAAAAAAUACAAUUGAUAUAGCAGCGUCCUAGGUCAUAUGAGGACAAACAUGUAGGAAAGUUCAUCUAGAAAAUUAGUGCAUCCGCAGUUUCAAUCAAAUUGCUAUAUUGAGCAACAAUUAAUGAAUAAAUUUGUUAUUCAACCUAUAUGUAACUAACACAAAUUUUAAUGACCUUCACAUAGCAGCAGUGGAAGUACCCAAUUUUUGAGACUUCACUGAAAUAUUUUCAUUCAAUCAAUUUACAACCAUCUUCCAUAUGCUUUCAUAUUUUAAAAUGUUAAAUGUUAAUCUCACUAUCAACACCACAAAAAAUAUAUCAUUUUUAAUGAAGACAAUUAGGUUAUCAUUUCUAAUAGAGCAUCUUGAGCAGUUAGCUUAAAAAAAUUAAGCAAACUAUUGUAUGAUUUUUAAGAUAUUUUAAGUAAUUUUAUCAACUAUAAAAUCAUCACCUAGUUCAUUAUAAGUGACACAACAUUGGUCAAUGACACAUAACAUUGGAAUUUAAGUUGGUACUCAAUUGUUGGGAUCUCUAAUAUUAUUGGACAUGAUUUAAUGAUCAAAUUCAAAUUUUGCACCGGUGGCCAUGAAUGAAAGAAUAUCAUGAAAGGUGUUAAGAUGCACAUGGAUAUUGGUAUUAGGGAUUAUGUUUAGGAUAUCAAUUAUUCAUACAGAUUUACUCUACAAAAAAUCAUUCCAAAUUUCAUAAUUAUUUUCCCUCUUACUUAUUUCCGAAGUUAUUUUCUUCCUCUUCCUAACGUUUCUCUAAUUCUGAAUCCCUUAACGAUGAGGGGAAAAAGAUUAAGAAAGUCAAACUGAUUAAAGCUAAAUAAAUAAAUAUUAGAAUCCAAAUUUUCCGUGCCCAAAUUCCGUUGAAUAUGAAAUAUAUAAAAUUAGCAAAUUGACUACAUCAAAAAAUUAAAAAAAUCAAAAUUCAUCAUGUAAAAAUCUUAUUUAACUCCUAAUUUCAUUACAAAAUCGUUCACAAGUUAAUUGAUAUCAGUAUUAGGUGAUCAAAGCUCAAGCAUUUUUAAUAAGCAAAGCUCAAAAGAAUUUCAUAAGAAAUCACUUACCAAUGAAAAUCAAUGCAGAGAAACAAUUGAGCUAUUUUCCUAGAGGGUAUAACGAUGAUGACAAUGAGUAGAAUCACUUAAUUAACGUAUUGAAAUAGCAACUUAGUUCAGAUCUACAAUGCCACUUGCUAUAUGAAAACGUAUAUAAUCAUAAUUAAUUAGCGAAAUGUCAAGUUCUAUUUUGACUGUCUUGCUUGGGUCAGGGUUUCUGUAUUCUACCAUUUUGGCAAGAUAUUGGAUGGCAUAAUCAAGUCUGUGAUGCCUCCAUCUCAGGUUAGUGUAAUUAUCGGUGAAGAUUAUAAUACAUAUUCAAUUAUAACAAACGAUUAUUAAAUUACUCCCAUCGAAAGGAUUAGGUUUGUCAUUAUUGACAAUUAAAUUAACAAGAUUCUCAUUUUCUCUCACCGCAUGCAUUGCAAGUUGAAAAGAACAUUGACUUGAGAAAAUACUCUGAUGAUUAAAUUACUCCCAAUAAUCAGAAUGGAAGCAGAGUAUUGAUAUUGGUCACUGAUCCACACCUCCUUACGCUGUCGGAAAUGGAAAACGGAGAGAAGAUUCGGCUUGAUUCAGUGAAAGAUGUUAAGAAAAGAACAAAUGUUCAUCAAUUUAGACAAUAUAAUCAAACAACUAAAAUUUUUUUAGUGAAAUUUCUAUUUAUAAUACCUCUACUAACAAAAUAUCUACUUAAAUAAGUUCUACUAAGCUAUAUUAUUAUGAACCGUAUCGAUUAAAGCAAAUACCAUUGACUUGAGAAAGCACUUUUUGUGUUUCUUUAUAAGUGUGAACAUGUACCAAACAAACUCUUUAUAAAACCAAAAAAGUCUCUUGUUCUGUGUUGGAGUUACCUUUUCACUUGAAAGUCUGCUGCAUUUAUUUGUGUGUUUUCCCUCCAAGUAUUGAGAUAUCUACUAGGCAAUUAUAUCAGUUGUGGGAAGCUGAAGGCUUCAUACCAUACAACAGUGAGGAAACUGCCGAACAUCACUUAAAAGAACUAAUCCAUCGCGGCUUCAUUCAAGUGAGUAAGAGAAGCGCCGGAGGCACGAUUAAAGCGUGUUAUGUUCCAAGUUUUGUAUAUUAUUCAUUGGCUUUGGUGGCAGAGAAGACGGGAUUUGUCCGGACGCCUGACUUCGAAGAGGAAUCAAAUCACAGUUCAGAAAGCGAUCGUCUCGCUCGGAUAGAUUGCGAGAAUUUUUGUAAAAAGUUCAAAUACCUUCGGGUAUUGGACUUGGGUUCUGCAGUUCUCGACCAAUUUCCACCCGGAUUAGAAAAUUUAUUCCUUU
This 4139-nucleotide long non-coding RNA is filed under the name Citrus sinensis (sweet orange). RNAcentral's name for it is "long non-coding RNA (CSIN_LNC001144)". Lineage: Eukaryota; Viridiplantae; Streptophyta; Magnoliopsida; Sapindales; Rutaceae. The record is from RNAcentral.